This 405-nucleotide unclassified non-coding RNA is filed under the name Hevea brasiliensis (rubber tree). Lineage: Eukaryota; Viridiplantae; Streptophyta; Magnoliopsida; Malpighiales; Euphorbiaceae. The record is from RNAcentral.
UACCAUCCACAGUUUCAAUGACCUGGAGGCAGUUUUAGGUUAGCAAGCAAAAAUGUUUUUGGUACUCGAAGUGUAUUGUAGGUAAUAUCUCAUAAGCAUGCAUGCAUUGUGUAUUUCAAGUAAUGUUGUUUCAGUUGAAUAGCCUCUUUUUUAGAUCCUAAUUCUCUUAGAGGAGAAACAUUUAGGAUACAUUUGGUAGGAUAUAAUGUAAUAUACUCAAUCAUGUAAUGAAAUGAAUGAUGUAAUAUUAGAUUAAAACGAAUGUAAUGUCAUUAUAAUUUUUGUUUCAACAUUUAGUUUAUUUGUGCCGGUAAUAAGGAGUGAGUGGCAGCAGUGACUUUGACUAAUGGUUUUGGUGGCAUUGGCUGCGGGGUGGUAGUAGUGGUUGGGGGGUUGGGGGGGGGG